UCCUACGGGAGGCAGCAGUGGGGAAUUUUGGACAAUGGGCGCAAGCCUGAUCCAGCCAUGCCGCGCAGGAUGAAGGCCUUCGGGUUGUAAACUGCUUUUGUACGGAACGAAAAGGUGCCUUCUAAUAAAGGGCGCUCAUGACGGUACCGUAAGAAUAAGCACCGGCUAACUACGUGCCAGCAGCCGCGAUAAU
RNAcentral lists this ribosomal RNA (193 nucleotides) under uncultured bacterium. RNAcentral describes it as "partial 16S ribosomal RNA". It matches the Rfam family "Bacterial small subunit ribosomal RNA", at positions 337 to 524 of the family's 1533-position model. The record is from RNAcentral.